ACAAACCUCCAUUGAUAUAGCCAUUGUAUUUUUGAGAAAAAACCGGUCCCUUCUCAAACUCCUCUCAACGAAAUUAGCCUUAAAAUGUAAGAAUUUUUAAUUUAUACUCUAAUUUCUAAACAAAAUUAGCCUUAAAAGCUUUAAUUCUGUCUCAAAUUUCUUACAAUUUUUGAAAUCAAGUUAUAUUUUGUGAUUAGGUUUUGAGGAAAAUAUUUUUAUAAGGUCAAAUGCUAUUUUGAAUCGUAUUUGCAAUAACAAAAAUAAUUCCAUGUUGCGUGUGAAAAUGCGAUGCAAACAUGGAGACUUACUUUCAAUGCAAACAUCAUGGUCAGAGGACAAUCCAGCUAGAAGAUUUUGGCUCUUUCCACACUGUCGUGUAUGGCCUUUACAUAUUCUCUUAUUAUUUUUCUUAUUUUUGUUAAAUUAAUUUACUUAUGACCUAUUUUAGGAGAAAUCAUACAACUUCUUUAGAUAAAGGGAUCAGAAAAAAAUUAAUUUACGAUCUAAAUCAAUCAUUUCGAGAUUGGCAAAAAGAAUAAAAGAGUUGGAAGAAGCAUUGUCAUUUUAUGAAAGUAAGGGGUAAUGGAUGGUGAAGGAGGAUAAAAAAAUAAAAUGUUAUAAUUGGAAGAUCAUCAUCAUGAUUGUCCUGGUGUUUUUAUAUUUUUAAGCAUUACCAAAAAUAUGAAGGAUGGUAAAUGUAGUUGUGUGCAGUUAAAAUUGCCAUAGUUAAUCUCUUGUUCUACUUUACAUCUUUAGUUUGAUUUUUUUCUUUUGUUGCUUUCUCUUGGUAUGAAUUCAAAGUAGUGUAUAUGUAUUUUUUCUAGUCAGAGUAGUAGUGGCUUAACAGGAUGUAAUUUUGCUUUAUAGGGUAAGACGUAUGCAACAUGUUUCAUGUCAAUUCGAAUUAGGACAAUAAAGUAACAAGCCAAAUACAAUGAAACAAAAUGAGGACUUCAUUCCAACAUAAUCAUCCCCUUUAUUAUUAAAUCAAAUUUGGUUCUUUAGCUUUUUAUGCUAUGCAGUAGUUUCAAAGGUAUUUUCAAUGCGUAUAUGUUCUCGUGUUCAAAGCAAGUUUCACAAGAUUGGGUUGAGGUUAUCACCAGUUCAAUUUUCAAAAAUCCACAUAAUUAGGAGAAUCUAUGACCCCCUAGUUUAUUCACCAUACCCAUACACCCCACACAUUCAAAACCAUCAUCAAAGCAUGAAAAUUUUUAUAUAAACUAUGGGAACAUCAUUUAAGAAAAUAAUCAUUCAAAAUCCUCAACCUAUAUUUCAAAUCCAACAUUCAAAACUACCUGAAUAAUAAUUUAAAACACAUAUUUUAAAAAAAUAAGCUCUGGGGAAGAAUAACAUGCAUGAGAUUAUCACAAUUACGGAGAGAAAUCACCCUUGAAAGCUCUAAUUGAUUAACCUUAAGAAAUCCUAGGUGUUCUUGACUUAGGGAUUUGACAGAGAAAAAAGUGUGUUUGAUUUGUGAAAGAAUAAAAAUAACCCUGUUUUGGUGUUUUAUGGACGUGGGUUUUAUUUGGAAAAGUGGGAAAUGACAAGAAUGCCCCCACUCAAAAGUGUAGAAAAAAAGACGUCUAGUCGUCACGGGUCACCUUACCACUCGUGAGGACACGUCCUGAGUCGUCACCAUGACUCUUGGUCAAGAUAGUAACUCAAGGAACCCUCACUGGUGACCCUAAGAAUCACACCAUAUGGCUCAUAGUCGGACAUUACGGUUCGUAGGGUCCUAGUUGUACUCCAAAAAAAAAUUUAGGCACCGCACUAGUUUGGAUACGGAAGGCACCUUACAACUCGACACUGACCUUAUGACACGUAGGGUCCGAGUCAUAGUCUGGGCAAAAAAAUCCACCAUCCUCACUGAUCACCCUAUGACUCAAGCCUUGCAAGUAGUAAGGAGACCUUACGACUCAUGAGGUGAGUCAUAGCUUGAGCAGUGAGCUCAAAACCAAGAAAUUCUUAGGCCCAAGAAUCCAGGGUGUUACCUUCUUCCUCCUAGGAUUAUUUGUCCCUGAAUGACAAAUCAUGGCAUUCAUUAGCAUGAUUUAACACAGAAACACAACAACACUUUCCUUUAAAAAAGUUAGAAAAUAAAGAUGGAGAGAAAAUCAUAUACCUUCAGCACGAUUAUCCAAAGAGGGAAAUAAGAAUGGAUAUUUGGACUUUAUGUCCUCUUCAGAUUCCCAAGUAGCUUCUUCAACUUUAUGAUUCCUCCAUAGAACGUUCACCAAAGACACAUUCUUAGUCCUCAAAUAACAGACUUGCCUACCAAAAUCUCAAUCGAGAUUUCCUUGUUAAACAAGGAAUACGAAAUGCCAACACUCUCUAAAGUAACAACGAAAUAAGGAUCUCUCACGCACUUCUUCAACAUCAAAACAUGGAACAUCGGAUUGAUCAAACCCAAACUCGAAGGCAACUUUAACUCAUAAGACACAUUGACCACUUUUCUCAAAAUUAAGAAUGGGUCAACAUAACGGGGAUUGAGUUUCCCUUCUUUCCAAUCCCAUCACCCCUUUCAUGGGAGACACCUUCAAGAACACCCAAUGUCCAACCUCAAAUUCCAACUCCUUUUACCUUACAUCCGCGUUGGACUUUUGGAAACUUUGGGCGGUCUUAAGACUAUCCCUAAUCAUCUUCACCUAUUCUAUGGCCUGGUACACUAAGUCAGUACCAAACAAUCUAGUCUCACUAACUUCGAACUACCCAAUGGGAGAACAUGUAACGCCCCGGAAAAUGGGUCCCGGAGCGUCACACGGUGCUUGAGGCUACGAGUAGCCCCAAGCUAACCCUUUGAGCCAUUUUUAUUCAGUUCAACACAAAUCAACGGGGUUUCCAUAAAUAACCCUCAAAUAUCAACAGAGUAAUCAUCAUCCAAGGAUAAAAGAAUUUCAGAAAGAUAACAAAAUACGACUUAUUAGUCAACUCCCAACAUCUAUACUAGUCUGAUAAGCCUCUAAGAAAAUCAAUAAAACCAGAGAGCCAUUGAGACNNNNNNNNNNNNNNNNNNNNNNNNNNNNNNNNNNNNNNNNNNNNNNNNNNNNNNNNNNNNNNNNNNNNNNNNNNNNNNNNNNNNNNNNNNNNNNNNNNNNNNNNNNNNNNNNNNNNNNNNNNNNNNNNNNNNNNNNNNNNNNNNNNNNNNNNNNNNNNNNNNNNNNNNNNNNNNNNNNNNNNNNNNNNNNNNNNNNNNNNNNNNNNNNNNNNNNNNNNNNNNNNNNNNNNNNNNNNNNNNNNNNNNNNNNNNNNNNNNNNNNNNNNNNNNNNNNNNNNNNNNNNNNNNNNNNNNNNNNNNNNNNNNNNNNNNNNNNNNNNNNNNNNNNNNNNNNNNNNNNNNNNNNNNNNNNNNNNNNNNNNNNNNNNNNNNNNNNNNNNNNNNNNNNNNNNNNNNNNNNNNNNNNNNNNNNNNNNNNNNNNNNNNNNNNNNNNNNNNNNNNNNNNNNNNNNNNNNNNNNNNNNNNNNNNNNNNNNNNNNNNNNNNNNNNNNNNNNNNNNNNNNNNNNNNNNNNNNNNNNNNNNNNNNNNNNNNNNNNNNNNNNNNNNNNNNNNNNNNNNNNNNNNNNNNNNNNNNNNNNNNNNNNNNNNNNNNNNNNNNNNNNNNNNNNNNNNNNNNNNNNNNNNNNNNNNNNNNNNNNNNNNNNNNNNNNNNNNNNNNNNNNNNNNNNNNNNNNNNNNNNNNNNNNNNNNNNNNNNNNNNNNNNNNNNNNNNNNNNNNNNNNNNNNNNNNNNNNNNNNNNNNNNNNNNNNNNNNNNNNNNNNNNNNNNNNNNNNNNNNNNNNNNNNNNNNNNNNNNNNNNNNNNNNNNNNNNNNNNNNNNNNNNNNNAUUGGGAGCCAUCAUGCUUCCCAUCUAUCAAAAUCAACCACGUUGUGGAUUUCUUUCACACUCGAGUUCAAAACAACUCCAUUAAGACCAAAAGGUCAAAUCAUUUAAAAUAUCUCAAAUAUUCAACAUCAACGUGCUUAUAACACACACUUUCUCAACAAAACACAAUUUCCAAUGGGGAUUCACGACCCAAAUAUCAAAAUCAUGAUAAAUAUCAUUCAAGAUUCAUGCUUUAUAUCUCCACACAUGUAAAUUCAUCUUUCAAAAUCAUAAACAUUAAGAUUUCAUAAUAAUCAUCAUAAGAUAUGGGUUCAUGCUUCAAAUUCGUAAAAAUCAAAUAAAAAUCAUGCCUUUGUAAAGAAAAUUACUUUUGGGCACAAGAACGAAAGAGAGUUCUUGUUGAAAAACCCCACAUACUUUGAAUGAUGAACUUUAGAUCGAUACUCGUUUUUGAGAUGUUAAUCGUGCCUUUGAAUGAUGGUUCUUGGAGUUCUUGAACUAGGAACUUGGAAUCUUGAAUAAAUUUGCAGAAUUAAUGGUAAACUUUGGAGGUUCUUGAAGUUGGAUGUAGGAGCUUAGGAUUUUCUUUUUGAGGGAAUUUGAUGAAAUAUAACAUAUAAUGCUUCUAAUAGGCUUUAAUAUAGGCUUUUGAUGGAUUUUGGGUGGGGGGAAUGACCAAAAUGCCUCUAAAAAUCAAAUAAUUCUCGAAUCUGCCUUUUGGUGGACUGUUUUGAUAGUCUAAAAUAGAUCAACCAUAACAUUUUACUCCGACAUCUAAAUUGGAUGAAACCAAUUUCAUGGACUGUUUUGAUAGUCUGAAGUAGAUCAACCAUAAUGUUUUACUCCAAUAUCCAAAUUGGAUGAAACCAAUUUCAUUAGAAAGAGGACUCUCAUAUCUUUCCGUUGAUAUAUAGUAUCUCACCUAGAUCAUUGUGUACGAGGAUUUAUGAUCAUUUGAAGUUUAUCCAAAAAUUCACUUUUGGUAGGCUGAAGUAGAUCAAUCAUAACUUUUUGCUCCAAUAUACAAAUUGGAUGAAACCAAUUUCAUUGGAAAGAGGACUCGCAGAGCUUUCCGUUGAUAUAUAGUUAAUCACUCAGAUCAUUAUGUACAAGGAGUUAUGAUCAUUUAAACUUGGAGCAAAAAUAGGCUAGGCCUCAGUACUUUUUCCUGCUCGUUUUACUGUUUACUACUAUUCAUGGUUCAAUCGGAAUGUUCAUAACUCGUCGCUUGGGUGUCCGUUUUGGAUGAUCCAUAUAUCGUUAGAAAGAUUAUUUGAUACUCUACGUGAUAGUGGGUCAUAACCUAAGACAUUCCGCACGGAAAAUUUAUAAUUCAUUCUAGAAGAUAGAACCUAACACAUUUACGCAUAAAAUUUCAACAAAAAAUUUCUUAGGGUAUUACAGAACAACAUCUCCUACCAUACAAAGCCUUAAACAGAGCCAUCUGAACACUAGAAUGAUAGCUGUUAUUACAUGCAAACUCUAGGAGAGGUAAAUGAUCAAACCAACUACCACCAAAGUCAAUCACACAGGCCCUUAGCAUAUCUUCCAGAGUCUGAAUAAACCUCUCCGUUUUUUCAUCCGUCUGAGGGUGGAUAGCAGUGUUAAGGUUCGCCUUAUUCCAAAACCUCUCUGAAAUGAUAGCCACAAGUGAUAUGAAAACUGCGUACCUUGAUCAAAUAUAAUAGAAAUAGGAACACCACGCAACUUGACAAUUCCUGAAUGAAAAUCUUAGCAUAAUCCUCUGCAGAAUAAUUAGUCCUCACUAGCAAGAAGUAAGCGGACUUAGCCAUCCUAUCCAUGAUGACCCAUAUCGAUUCGAACUGUUUAUGAGAUCGCGGAAUAUUGGUAAUGAAAUCCAUAUUAAUCACUUGUCAUUUCCACACAGGUAACUCAAUAUCUUGAGACAAACCACCAAGCCUCAAGUGCUCUACUUUCACUUGUUGACAAAUCAUGCACUUAGCCACAAAAUUGGCCACAUUUUUCCUCAUGAUUUUCCACCAAUAAAUCUCCUUCAAAUCAUAAUACAUCUUCGUCGAUCUAGAUGAAUAGUGUACCUCAAAUCAUGAGCCUCAGCCAAGAUCCUUUCUAGUAACCAGUCAACAUCGGGAACACACAAUCUACCUUGGUACCUUAAGAUACCAUUACCACCAACCUUAGAAUCCAUGACUUUAUGCUGACCCACAUCAUCCCUAAUCUGCAUCAAGAUAGGAUCUAAAAAUCACUUCUCCUUUACCUCAACACCAAGAGAUGACUUUAUCACCACUUGCAUAAUCACACCUUCAUUCUCAGAGUCUAAAAGACAAACUCUAAGAUUAGCCAAAUAGUGAAUAUCUUUCACCAGUCCUCGCUUCUACUCAUCUAUAUGAGAUAAGAUACCUAUAUAUAACCUACUAAGAGUAUCAGCAACCACAUUAGCUUUACAUGGGUGAUAAUGGAGACUCAGGUCGUAGUCUUUGAGCAACUCAAGCCAUUGCCUUUUCCUGAGAUUCAACUCCUUCUAGGUGAACAUAUACUGCAAGCUCUUAUGGUUAGAAUUUAUAUCAACAUGAACUCCAUACAAGUAAUGGCGCCAAACUUUCAAAGGAAAAAACACAACCAACAACUCCAAAUCAUGAAUCAAAUAAUUCUUCUCAUGUACCUUAAGCUGCCUAGAAGCAUAUGCCAUAACAUUACUAUAUUGCAUCAAAACACAACUCAAUUCCCAUAUUUGAGGCAUCACAAUAAACAACAAAGCUAUCAGUACCCUCGGGUAGGGCCAAAACUGGCGUAGAAAUCAACUUGUCCUUCAACUUUAAAAAACUACCCUCACAAGCAUCGGACCAUAGAAACUUCACCUUUUUCUGGGUCAACUUAGUCAAUCGAGCAGCAACCGAAGAGAAAUUCUCCACAAACCUCUUAUAAUACCCAGCUAAAUCCAAGAAGCUCCGAAUAUCGGUUGGAUUCGUGGGUCUAGGCCAUUUUUUAACCGCCUUAACUUUCUAUGGAUCCAUCAUGAUCCCUUUACUAGAAAUAACAUGACUCGAAAAAGUAAUAGUAUUUAUCCAAAACUCACACUUCAAAAUCUUAGUAUAUAAUCGUUGAUCCUUAAGAGUCUGCAGCACUAUACAGAGGUGAUUGGCAUGGUCUUCUUUACUCUUAGAAUAUACCAAGAUGUCAUUGAUAAACACAUUGACGAAUAAGACCAAAAACUGAAGAAAUACCCGAUUCAUAAGAUCCAUAAAUACCGUCGAGGCAUUAGUCAAACCAAAUGACAUAACCAAAAACUCAUAAUGGACAUAUCGAGUAUGGAAAAAAGUCUUAGGGAUAUCCACCUCCCUAAUAUUCAACUGAUGAUAACCCGACCGAAUAUCAAUCUUAGUAAAGUACUUAGCUGUCAUCAAUCCUAGGAAGAGGAUACUUAUUCUUCAGUUACCUUAUUCAACUGUCAAUAAUCUAUAUAUAUUCGAAGGAACCCAUCCUUCUUACGCACGAAUAGAAUAGAAACACCCCAUGAAAAAACACUCUAGCGAAUAUAACCCUUGUCAAGAAGAUUUUUCAACUGCUCCUUAAGUUCUUUCAACUCGGUCAGAGCAGUUCCUGAAGGAGGGAUAAAUAUAGGAUAGGUAUCAAGGAGAAGGUCAAUCCCAAAGUCUAUUCCCUAUCGGGAGAAAUACCAGGAAGAUCAUAGAUCAUUAGGAAACACUUUGGGAAACUCAUUGACUAUAGGGACAGAUUACAAAGAAGUCCUUCAAAAUUAGAAUCCUUAACCUAAACUAGAUGAUAUAGACACCCCUUGGAAAUCAAUUUUCAGGAUUUUAGAGAAGACAUGAACCUCUCCUUAGGUGCUAAAAAACUACCUUCCCACUCAAUUAUUGGUUCAUUCAGAAAUUAGAAACUGACCCUUUAGGUUCUACAAUUAAAAGACACAUAGCAUGAAUGGAGCCAAUACAUCCCCAAAAUAACAUCAAAGUUUAACGUAUCCAUCUCUAUUAGAUCCACCAAUAUCCCCUACCACAGAUAGAUACCACACAACCCCUAUAGAUUUUGCUAACCAUAACAGAGUCACCCAUUGGGGUAGACACAGAAAAGGGAUCAGAAAUACACUUAUGACCAAAACCAAAAUAGAUAGCCACAUAAGGGUCACAUAAGAAAGAGUAGAACCGAAUCAAGUAAGCAAUAAAUGUCAUGAGAGAAGAGUUAUAAUGUGCCACUGACAACGUCAGAAAAAACCUUAGAUUCUUGAUAGGUAGCGAGAGCAUAUAGACAAUUUCUACUAGUGACGAUAUCAAAAGUAGCACCCUUCGGUGCUAGAGUGGAAGACAUAGAAAUCGAAACCUUAUUAGCUAUAGUAGAAACAUCAUCUAAAGGAUAGUUCUUCUAAAUAUAACCAGGUUGACCACAUCAGAAACACUUAUUUAUCCCCUAAUCAUAAAAACCACAGUGCAACUAUCCACAAAAUCUACAAGGAGGAUAUAAUGGAGUUGAUUGUGCCCCACUGUCCUAAGAUUAGGAACCUUGUUCCUUAAACCCACUGUUACUCUAAAAGCAACGAUCACCGAAUGGCUUAGGAUAUGGAGCACUCACCGUAGAAUAAGAAUUGGAAUUUCCCCACUUCUUCUUGGUCCACUAUCUGCCAUCCCUAUCACUAUUCUGAUGACCUCCACCCUGCUCAAAAUACUUGAAUUUCAUACUUUGUCUUUCUCCCAUUUCGUCUUAUUUCUUCUUCUCCUCUUCAACCUGUUGCAUAUACACCACAAGCCUAGAGAUAUCCAUAUCCUUGUUCAGCAAGGAAACCUUAAACUCCAACACUAAGUCCCGAGAUAAACCUAAAGUGAACUUCCUCAUCUUACCCAUUAUAGAGGACACCAACUCUGGGGCAUAACAGAAUAACUGAUGAAACGUCAAGGCAUACUCUUUCACAGACAUUCUGCCUUAAUUUAAAUUUAUGAACUUUUUAGCCUUUACCUCCCUCAACUUUUGAGAAAAGAAGCGGUCAAAAAAGCACUAAAAAAAUCAUCCCAUAAUACCAGCUCAGCAUCAUCCCCUCUUAACUACUCCCACUCCACAUACCACUGAUAUGACAUAUCCUUUAACUGAUAUGCGGUGAAAUCCACACCCUCCGAGUCGGAAGCAUACAUCACUCAAAAGAUUUUUUCUAUCUCAUUUAUGAACCCUUAAGGAUCCUCCUCAACCUUGGAACCAGUGAAAGUCGAAGGACUCAACCUCACAAACUGGCCAACCCUUGUGGCCUCAAAGAAAGAAGGACGAAAGCAAUACACUCAUACUGACACAAUUGUGAUUCCACCAGCUCAGUAAGAAAAUGGAUCAAUAGGCGGAACUUAGCAUUAGACACAUCACCCUGGGGAGUCUAAGGGAGACUAGAGGGAACCGGUGAAACUCCAUGAAGGCAAUCAGUAGCAAAGAACCUAGAUCCGGCCUGUACCCCAUAUGCAAGAUGAGUUUCGUCCAUAUUGUUCUCAAGUGGGAUAGAAGAGUUUCCACGAGCAUCAGAUCUUCUGGGAGGCAUGAUCUAAAAUACAAACAAAUAGGGAUUAAAGGAAAUUUCAACAUCCUAGACUCUACAGUCCAAAAGUAGAACACAAGAAAGGGAUACAUUCCUAAAUGCCUCGUAGUUUCUCCCUUAUAAGUACGGCGUGCUACACACCCAUAAAAAGACUCUACAUAACAUUAUUUUGUGGACACCCAACUGCACAUGAACCUAGGGCUCUGAUAGAAGGCUUGUCACGACUCAAAUCAAGGACUGACCAUGACGGGUAUCUCAAGUCCACCAAGGACCAGAGAACACCCCCUUUGCCUAGUCAAACAUAAUACAAUACAGCUAGCAGCAGAUAAAUUUUAAAUAUAUAACAAGAUAGAUAAACAAAACCAAGACAAGGUUCUAUGAAUUCAAUAAAACAUCCCAAUCCAUAGUAAUUCACAAAGCAUCUACUAUUUGAAAAUAAUCUAAGUCGGGACAUGCCCCGAUGAUAGCCCAAAAGAAACCAUGAGAAAUAGUCUAUGACACAAAAUAAACUAAGAAGUAACAGCCUUCCAGAAAAAGAAGGCUCACCAUUUUAAGUUGGCUCAUGAACGGUCUAAGAUCACCUAUAACUGCAUAGGAAAUGAAGAAGUAUCUCUGGUUCCUGUAUCACAUGGGGAUACAAUAUCUAGAGAUGGUUAACGGGUUGAACGCUAGCGUGUAACUCAUGGAGGAGAUAAAAUAAUGCCAUAAUUGAUAGUUCAAAAAUCAUUCAAAGCCAAUGCACAUAAUCAAACACAUAUAUAAAAUAGGUUAGGAUACUGAAAAAGGCUUAGCAUAUAAGUAAAACAUUAGCCUGGACUUUAUAGCUAAACGGUUACAAAAAGGCAUCCACGAGCUAUAUGGGUCCAGCUCCACCUGCAGAAAGAGCCCAGUAUAUGUUAGCCACACAAACCAGAAGUAUCAAGAAAGACUAGGGAAUGUCCUGAACCCACGUAAUCCAUGAUAUAAAUAAAUAUCAAUCGUGUGAUUCAUGCACACGGUCGUAAAGACCAACCCUCAUGCCGGCAAGCGUGAGUUUACAGUAUCGGUCCUUCGAGACCUCCAUCUUUACGGCUUAGCUACAUAACCCCCAUUAAGCUAAAUUAAAAUAAGUUUUACAUAAAUCAUUCAUUUAACCAAGUAAUUGAUCGCUAAGGCACACCAUAGAUAUCGUCAUACCCUUACGUUUGCAAGCUUAUAAUUAUGUCGUUACAAUUUCAUUAACUUGGGAAAAUGCCUCGACCCCCUUUGUUCAUUAAAUAAGUAUGGGGGAAUGCCACGAACCCCUUUGUUCAUUGAAUAAAAUUUUGUUAUUUAGCCUUUUUAUGUUAUGCUGUAGUUCCAAAGGUAUUUUCAAUGCAUAUGUUCUCAUGUUCAAAGCAAGUUUCAUAAGAUUAGGUUGAGGUUAUCACCAAUUUAAUUAUCAAAAUCCACAUAAUUGGGGAAAUUCACUACCCCCAAGUUUAUUCACCAUCCCCAUGUACCCCACACGUUCAAAAUCAUCAUCAAAGCAUGAAAAUUUCAUAUAAACCAUGGGAACAUCAUUUAAGAAAUCAAUCAUUCAAAACCCUCAACCCACAUUCCAAAGCCAACAUUCAAAACUACUUGAAUAAUAAUUUAAACCACAUAUUUUAACAAAAUAAACUUUAGGUAAGAGUAACAUGCCUGAAAGUAUCACAAUUAUGAAGAGAAAUUAUCCUUGGAAUCUCUAAUUGAUUAAUCUUAAGAAAUCAUUUGUGUUCUUGACUUAGGGUUUGAGAGAGAAAAGAGUGUGUUUGAUUUGUGAAAGAAUGAAAAUAACUCCUUUUUGGUGUUUUAUGGACGUGGGUUUUAUUUGGAUAAAAAAGGAAAUGACAAGAAUUCCCCCACUCAAAAGUGUAAAAAAAAAUGGUCAGUCGUCAAGGGUUACCUUACGACUCGUGAGGACACAUCAUGAGUCAUCACCAUGACUCUUGGUCAAGACAGUAACUUAAGGACCCCUCAUUAGUGACCCUAUGAGUCAUACCAUAUGACUCAUAGUUGGACCUUAUGACUCAUAAGGCCCUACUCAUACUCCAGACAGAAAUAUUUGGGCACCGCACUAGUUUGGAUAUGGAAGGCACCCUACAACUCGUACACCAACCUCACAACUCAUAGGGUCCUAGUCAUAGUCUGAGUAGAAACAUCCACCAUCCUCACUAGUCACCCUACGACUCGAGCCCUUCGAGUCAUAAGGAUAUUUUACGACUCAUGAGGUAUGUCGUAGCUUGAGCAGUGAGCUCAAAACCAAGAAAUUUUUGGGCCCAAUAAUCUAGGGUGUUAUAAUCAGACAUCGUUGUCACCUUUGUAUCAAUGAUAAUGACUCGUCUACUUGACAAUACAAGCUACAAAAAUAAAUCACAGAAAUUAAAAAGACAUGAAUAUGAAUAAGUAAAGCAAUUUAUACACACUACUUAUAUUAAAAGCGAUAAAUCCAUCCUCAACUUAGUAUAUUCUAACCCUACCAUACUUGGCCUUUUAAAAGGUCUUGAAUGUCCUCCACUAGUGUCCUCAUGCUCUUGUUUUUUAGAAGUCAUUCUUCUUCCUUUACCCCUUCCACUGCCAUAAAUGAUUUGACGUUCUUGAGUCAGUCUUUGUUGAGUCAUCCCUCUACCUCUACCACUGCCCUUCCUCUACCACUUAUAAAAACUUGUUUAUUGAGACUCAAAUUGGUAUAUCUAUGUUUUGUAAAAAUAAUUAGACAAAUUACCUGUGUUUGUGCAAAAGUUCUAUCUGAUUGACUAGGAACAAUUGGGACAUUUAGACCACUUGAACAUUGCCUUUUUUUCCACCUCUUCCUCUGCCACUUUAAAUGAUUGUGGUGGCCUAAUUAUUAAUAAAUUAGUACAUAUACUUAAAAAUUUAUUGAUAAUGACACAUAAAUUAAUAUACCGCUGCCUGGGAAGAUGUUCCAACUGACUGACUUGGGUUACUGCCCCUUGCUCUGCCUCUUUCUCUACUAGUAGAAGCUCAAGUUUGUGUUUUAGAAUAUUGAUUUUUGCACUUAACAAAAUAUACAUUAAGUAAUGAUUAAAAAAUACAUGUGCCUGAGAAUAUUUUCCAACUGAUUGACUUGGAUCAGGUUGAUCUCUUGUAGGACAUCAUCUUUUAUUGUGUCCUUGUGUACCUCAUUUGCUACAAGUCAUAACAGCACCGCAUUUGCUAAGUUUCUCAGUUUUUCUACUUUCAUUAGCCUUCUUUCUUCUAAAUUUACUUGAUUUUUUAGGCAGCUUCUUGACCUUUGGUAUUUUCAUAAUAGGAUAAUUUAAUGUUGACUAUAUUUUUAUAUUGUUCAUUACUUAAAUAAAAUGGGCAUAUAUGCUGAGGUAGGUAUCCUUAUGAUAGCAGUUGUCCACAAAAUUAAUGGGUUCAUAUUCCUUGUGGUGAAGAACAACAACACUAAGAAGACAAAGAAUGUGCCCAAGCUGCCAAGAUCUACAACUCCUACUAAUAAUGUCCACAGUGUGUGUGAAACCCCUAUGUUCAAUCUCAAAACCCUUUUUCCUAUUUCAAAACAAGUUGCACUAUAUUGACUUGUCGAUAUUUUCUUGGAGAAUCUUCAGAGCUACAGGAGAAAUAUCAGUGAUCCAAGUAUUUGAAAAUUGUCUCAAUUCACUAAUUUUUUUCAUCCAUCAUCUUCAUCCUAAUAUCCUCAAGAAUUGUGAUGAUUGUUUUAAACCUUGUAGGCAGUAUCCAUGCAUUAAAACUCUCUGUCAUAUUAUUGUCCACAACAUCAUAUUUGCAAUGCUCUUCAAAGUAUUUUUUCCACCAUGUCUUCAAAUUGUACCACAAAAGAUCAUCCAAACAAUCCAUUCCUAACAAUUUUUUUCUUAUAUAUUCUCCUUCAGUUCUGCUUUAAAUGUGGAUUUUGCAAUUCUUCAAAAUAAUUUUCUUCUUUCAAUCCCCUUUCAGAUUUUACACCGAUUAGCAAGAAUAUGUCUUGCACAUUUUUUAUUUUUUAGUCCGUGGCAAUAGCUCUUUCACGGUAAUUUUCAGUCCCUAACAAAACAAAAUAGGAUAUUAAUCUGCAGAAUUAAAGAAAAAAAAACUUAUUAAGAAUGGAGUCAUGCCUUUUGCAUAUCAGUUAUGAUGCUUAACUGAUGGCCUUCUCCAAGCUCAAGGUCAUUUUUGAAUAUUUCAAGAAACAAUCCCCAUGUAAACUGAUUUGCAACCUCAACAACUACCUAGUUAAUAGUUAGCAUUUGGUUGUUUUCAUCUCUGCAAAUAGCCACCAACAACUCACCUUUACAUACACCUUUAAGGAAACACCCAUCCAAACCAAUCAACCUUCUAACACCUCCAAAGAAUGCUUUCUUUAAAGAAUGAAAGCAUACAUAAAAUUCUUAUGAAAUAAACUAUCCAAUCUCAUCAGUUUCUCCAACCACAACAACAUAAGUACUACCUGAAUUAGUCCUCAAAUUCUCAUUCGUCUAACUAAAAAUCCUACCAUAUUCCACAAUUUUAUCACUCAUAAUCUCUUAUAGCACUUUAUACCUAGCUCUUUUCACAAUUGUCCUACUAAUAUAGAUAUCCACAUUCUUUCUAAUAAUCUACUACAACUGGAUAAUUUUGAUGUUUGGUUGUUGACUUAUUUUGUCUUUUUACUUACUUGUCAGAAACAUUGAUUUGCAAAGAUAUUUAAAUGUUGAUACCAAAUAAAUAUGAAUAGGAUUAUAUUUUUUAGAAUUAAAAUUCUCACUAGUCUUCCUUACUAGCACACAAUAAUUAAGGACACGUCUUUUUACAGCACCUCAUUCUAACUCUGUCAGACUCAUUCACAUACUUUCCAUUUAAAUAUUUUCUUGAACUGCAUAUCUAGUUACUAAUAUCCUAAAUUCCUUGAUACUUGAAAAUAUCAAUCCUAAUUUUCAAAUAACUUUUCACGAGUUUCAUUAAAAUCAACUUUGUUUCUUUGUUCUUCCAUUUUACAGGUUUAUGCACUACUAGAUUAACCUCGUUACCAUCUCUUGAACCUAAUUCAAUAGCUAUUUUAAAUCUAGGAUCUUCAUUACUUAUAUAGUAAGAUUCAUCACCACCUUACUUACCAACUAGGUUAUCCCUAAUACCAACAUUUGUCUCAUCAUAUCCUAUGUUUGGACCUUUUUCAUCGACAUUAAUUUGUUCAUCUAUUUACCUCUACUUCUCCUUUGUGACCUAUCUAAAAGUCUCUUGCUUUCCAUUAUAUCAAUAUACUCCUGACGGACAUCACUGUCAACGUCACUUUCUUCACUCCUUUAAAUUUUGAUCAUCCUCUAAAUCAUCAUCACUUAGAUCUUCAUCUAUUAUAGAAUCAAGAGGGAUAGAAAGUAUAGUAAAAGGAGGAGGGUUGGAAGGUAUAGUAGAAAGAAGAGACUCAUCAAAGGGGUUAGAAGGAAAAAGUCGGAGAAGAAGACUAACUAUUAGGGUUAGAAGCAUCACCCUCAUUAAUAGGGUUCAAAGAUUCCUCACCUACCCCACUAUCACUGACAUUGGGGACAAACUCCAAUUCAAGUGGAGUCUAAUAAGGAUCAUUGACCCCAUGUAAAAUAUACACCUUAAGUUCAUCCCCUUUUUUAACCUGCUAACAAUGUCAGACAUUACCUUAUUUUUAUGAAGUAGACAUCCCAAUUAAUAAAAAAGUCACAUUUUAUUGUAUAUCCUAGAUAUUUUAUGUAGUCUCUUAACUCAAAGUACGACAUCAUACCAACAUCGUUAUCUAAGAACUCGUCACAGUCCCAUCAAUAUAAUCAGGUGGGGGACUAAAUACAAUUUCACCCCAUGUUUACAUCUUAAGGUUAUCAGAACAAACGACAUAGAAAGAUUCCUUAAAAGGUACAAUUUCAGCCACACAAACACAUUGAAAUCAGUAAACCAAAUUAUAAAUGUAAUACCCUUAGUUCUACCUAGCUUGAAAUCGUUCCAAGAAUGUUAGAAACUUACUUUGAAAAAUGAAUCCAUUUUUGUACAUGUGGAAUUUUUAAGAUUUUAACUUUUUGUUGAGUGAAAGUUUGAAUUAGCUUUUGAAAAUACCAAUUUCGUCCAAAUUCGGUAUCGAGGUAGAAAGUUAUAGCCAAAAUACAGAAAGCAGUCAAAACUGCCCAGGUGCGACGAUAAAGGCCGACAGACCGUCGAGCUAGCGACGGACUGUCGCCCGAACCGUCACAGCAGAGGCAGUAAGACCAUAUUCUUCCUAAAGGCAAUGGCUCGAGCCGAUGGACCGUCGAGCUAGCAACGGACCAUUGCCCAAGCCGUCGUAAGAGAGGUAGUGAACCCUUAUUUUGCCCAGGUACGACGGUCAGGACCGACGGACCGUCGACCCAGCGACGAACCGUCACACCCACUAUCGCAUACUUCAUUCAGCUAUUUUAAGUUGUUUUUAAAAGGGCUUUUUGGUCUUUUACCAUUCUUUUUUUAUACCUAUUUAUAUCAGGCCAAGCCUCAUAAGUUCAUUAUCCAUCUACAACAUCAAACUAGGGUUUACUCUCAAAGAUAAUCCCCAAGAACAAGAUCCAAACCCUUCUUCAAGAAACUAAGAGAUUCCAAGUUCUUCAAGUCCAAGAACUUCAAGAAAACUCAAUGAAGGUAUGUCAUGUGUUGAUUCAUGGGUACCUUUCACCCAUGAAGCUCAAGAAUCUCUUUUCAAAAUUCAAGAUUUGUGCAUUUAUAAAUAUUCAUGAUUUAAAUUAAAUUGAAAUUCAUGUUCAUGAUGUUGUGGGGUUUUGAUUCAUGUUUUAAAUUUCAUAUUCCAAUGAUUGACCCUAGUAUAUGAUGAUUUGCAUAAUAAUCAUGAUAAACCCCUUCAAAUUUACAAAUUUAUUUAUGCAACCAUGAUAGUUAGAUGCAUUGAUAAUGGUAUAACCAAAGUAUGCUCCCCAUAUAUUUGAUUAAAUGUCUAUGUGAAGGAAAAAUGUCAUACUAGUGUGAUAAUAUGAAAUUCCCAUUCAUGUACAAGUUUAUGCAUGUCAAAUGUUUGAUGAAAUGAUUUAGUCAGUGAAUUAUGGAUACAUGUAUAGCCGUUGUGGUGCUUUAGAACUUGUACUUCAUGAAAUCUCGAACUUAUUACAUUAUGGAUUGUUGAUAUUGGUCAUGUAUUCAAGAAAGUCAUGCUUUGUCAGUUUCUUCCCAUCGAGUCCUGGGGGUACUUGUACCCAAAAAUUUAGCUGUGUGCCUAAAAUCAGUGUCAUGUUUUCAAGAUACUCUCAGUCAAUUCAUGAGCCAUAGAAUUCAGUCAGUCUCAUGACUCAAGAAAACUCAGUAAUCUCAGUAGUAUUUCGUCAGUCCAUGAAAAUUCAGUUAACUCAGUCUAGUCAGUUUAGUUAAUCAUGUUCAGUGUCUAUUCAGAUGGGAGUAGAAAUUAGCACCAAGUCAACCCAAGGAUGGGAACACACCUGUUAUAUGAGGGUGUGAUUCUUAGAAGCGAUCCUUCUAUUCCAGAACUACGCAGCCAGCGUAGGUUGAGACAUCAUAGCCUGUUAUAUGAUGGUAGAUGGGGUGGCUUAACCUGUUAUAUGAGGGUUCCCACUGUUCUCACUAGAUUUAUCUAUUAUAUGAGGGUUACUCACAGAUUAUCCUUACCAGUGACGCGAUAUUGACACCCUUCCAAUUGGGGUUACAGAUUGGACCCCAACUCAGCUAUAUUGCGUUAUUUGGGGCAUGUCGGUUAGAUGACUACUUUUCAUAGUUUCAAUUACAGAUCAAGACUGUCAGAUACAGUCAUUCAGUCUCAAUAAUAGAACUCAGAUAGUUUUAUAGAAUUCAGGACUGUCAGAUAUAAUCAACUCAGAACAGAACGAAAUUCAGAUAGUUCCAUUAGAACCUAGACUGUUAGAUACAUUCGCUCAGUAUUAGUUAUUUUAGUUAUACAGUUAUCAGUAUCUCAUGUUAUCAGGACUCAGACUCAGUAAUCAUGUUAUCAUAAUCUCAGUUAUAGUUAUUAUGUAUUCAUGCAUGUAUUCUCGCAUUCAUGUUAUUCAGUCAGUUAGUAUAGUUCAUACAUGUCAACCCUUUGCAUUCAUCCUACCUCACAUGCAUACUAGUACAUUCAAUCGUACUGACGCAUUUACGCUAUGGUGUUUUAUACCAUAGGUUCAGAAGCACGAACUCCAGAGCAUCAGUAGCAUUCCAGUCUCAGCAGUCAGAGUUAGCAGUGAGUCCUCAUCCUUCGAGGACAUGACCAUUACUUUAUUAUCUCAUUAAUUAAUUUAUUUCAGUAAUUGGAGUUAGUUGGGGACAUGUCUCAUCAACUCCUUAUUCAGACCAUUCAGUCAGUUAGAGGCUUUCCAGACUAUUAUGUUUAGACAGUUAUUUCAGUUAUUUUGGGUAUUUCAUACCCCACCCAGAUGCUAUAUUUUUAUCAGAUAUUAUGUCUCAGUUUUGAAC
RNAcentral lists this long non-coding RNA (17703 nucleotides) under Capsicum annuum. RNAcentral's name for it is "long non-coding RNA (CANN_LNC005495)". The record is from RNAcentral. Lineage: Eukaryota; Viridiplantae; Streptophyta; Magnoliopsida; Solanales; Solanaceae.